GAGUUUGAUCCUGGCUCAGAGCGAACGCUGGCGGCACGCUUUACACAUGCAAGUCGAGCGAGAAAGCGGCUUCGGUCGCAAGUAUAGCGGCGGACGGGUGCGUAUAACGUGGAUAACCUGCCUUAAGGACCGGGACAACCUUGGGAAACCAAGGCUAAUACCGGAUAUGACCACGAUGUCUGAGGGCAACGGGGUAAAAGAUGACCGUUUACGGUUGUCGCCUUUUGAGGGGUCCACGUCCUAUCAGGUAGUUGGUGGGGUAAAGGCCUACCAAGCCAAAGACGGGUAGCCGGCCUUAGCGGGUGAUCGGCACACGGGGACUGAGACACGGCCCGACUCCUACGGGAGGCAGCAGUGGGGAAUAUUGGGCAAUGGGCGAAAGCCUGACCCAGCGAUGCCGCGUGAGGGAAGAAGGCCUUCGGGUUGUAAACCUAUGUCAGAGGGAAGAAGGGUCUGCAAUUAACCUUGCGGGCUUGACUUGUACCUCCAGAGGGAAGCCCCGGGUUAACUCCGUGCCAGCAAGCCGGGUAAUACGGGAGGGGGGCAAGCGUUGCUCCGGAAAUUACUGGGCGUAAAGAGUCCGGAAGGUGGGCUUGCCAGUUGGAUGUGAAAGCCCGGAGUUUAAUUCCGGGAUUGUUCCAAAAUGUUGACUUGAGUCCAGAAAAGGUUGGGGGGAAUCCCCGGGGUAGGGGAAUGGGUUAAAAUCCGGGAGGGAACCCCGUGACGAGGGCAAUGGUUGGGCUGGACACUGGGGGCACAAAGGUGGNUAGACCGGAUAAACCCGGGACAAGGGGAACCCAACGGGGGCGACAGGACAGGUCCGGCCCAUUGGGCAAAGUGUACAGGGCCCAAUGGGGGACAACGGGAACAUGGCNGGGAAUGUCGCGCAACACCAAUAGCGGAAAAUAGCAGGGGCAUAGGGACCAAUGGGCACGCAAG
This 939-nucleotide ribosomal RNA is filed under the name uncultured delta proteobacterium. Its description in RNAcentral is "bacterial SSU rRNA". The stretch from base 1 to 783 matches the Rfam family "Bacterial small subunit ribosomal RNA", at positions 9 to 873 of the family's 1533-position model. Lineage: Bacteria; Deltaproteobacteria. The record is from RNAcentral.